Molecule: ribosomal RNA, 196 nt
Filed under: Alexandrium tamarense
Lineage: Eukaryota; Dinophyceae; Gonyaulacales; Pyrocystaceae
Description: partial Bacterial large subunit ribosomal RNA
Rfam family: Bacterial large subunit ribosomal RNA
Source: RNAcentral
AGCUAAGUCUUAACCGUUAUCCGGUAAGAUGACAGUUUCAGGCGGGCAGUUUGACUGGGGCAGUCACCUCCCAAAAGGUAAUGGAGGUGUGCAAAGGUUCCCUCAGGCUGGACGGAAAUCAGCCAUAGAGUGUAAAAGCAAAAGGGAGCUUGACUGCGAGACUGACAUGUCAAGCAGAGACGAAAGUCGGCUUUAG